Molecule: small nucleolar RNA, 132 nt
Organism: Setaria italica (foxtail millet)
Lineage: Eukaryota; Viridiplantae; Streptophyta; Magnoliopsida; Poales; Poaceae
Rfam family: Small nucleolar RNA Z247
About the family: Z247 is a member of the C/D class of snoRNA which contain the C (UGAUGA) and D (CUGA) box motifs. Most of the members of the box C/D family function in directing site-specific 2'-O-methylation of substrate RNAs.
Source: Rfam
AUCGUCGACGACAAUGAGGUGGUCUCUCAUAUUCUCAAUGGCCUUGAUUAUGAUUAUCAUCCGUUUGUUGCUUCAGUAAUUGGACGUUCAGAUCCCAUCCCCUUGAAUGAUCUCUACUCAUGGCUUUUGGCC